This is a non-coding RNA of Myodes glareolus (Bank vole), 2732 nucleotides long. The record is from RefSeq and is a predicted model, not a curated record. Lineage: Eukaryota; Metazoa; Chordata; Mammalia; Rodentia; Cricetidae.
AGCGAGGGGACUCGGGCUCCGGGCUCAGCUCGGGCAGCAGCCGCGACAAGUCGUCCACCAGGUGCCACUUCUCCUGGACCUGCUGCAGGGAAAAAUUAAGGAACCAGCUGUUAGCUUGAAGCAAACCGUAGCCAGAAGCCACGCCCACAACGCAGUCUGAGGAGGUUGUCAAUGCAGCCGGAGGCCAUCUCGAAGCCCGGCCCCUAAUUUAGAACCAGGCAGCACCACGGCCCCGCCUCCUACAGUCCCAACCCCGCCCCAGACCACGCCCACAAGCUAAGGCUCUGCUUCAACCCAAGGCCACGCCUCCACCGAAGUAGGCAGCCAGUCAAGGUACACACUCCUCAAGGGUUUGGCAGAAGCAUAGUCACUCACCCACACCAGCUGCUUCCGCAGCCCUUGGAUGGCUCUGGCGUUCGCCCGGGACUGGGAAACGCACACGGUCAGGACGAGGCUUAAAGAAGAUAGAAGUGCAGCCCCUCCCUCGCUCUAAGAGCUCCAGCGUGGUGAGGCUGCUUCGCCAGGGGCCAUACAGUCCUCCUGGCGUCCUAGGAGCCCAGAAGGCCUACAAUAUGCCCUCAGGUCACCUGUGUUGGCGCCAGUUUCCCUAGUUCUUGCAUCCCAAGACACUAUCUGGAUAUGCCCAGCUGUACACCACCCCUGGGGAAGGAAAGCAAACUGGGUUUUCCCCUCGGUCCCUGCUGUCUGGAGUCACCUGAGCAGAAUGAGGAGAGGGAAGCUGAAGGCGUGGGAGCUGAGGUACCGGAGGGCACGCUGGCCAGGAAGUGGGAGCUGGAGGGUCACCAGCUCUGGCACCACCUGCCAGGGGGCUGAAUAGUUGGUGAAGAGGCCACAGUCCCAGGAGGAGUGGGUGCUGGGGAGAUGGGAACGGACAGGUGUGUGAGGGUCUGGGGUAGGAGCUGCUGGACCGGCCUCCCAGCCGCCAGCCCCCAUCACCUGCUGAUCACGUAGGCCAGAGGGACCGCAGCCAAGAGCAAGCCCAGGAGCAACACCAGUUGGAAGAAGAAGGUGGAGCUGGAGGCUCGGAACAGCCUUGGGGACGCCCUGGAGUUCCUCAGGAGGGUGUACUGAGGUGGGCGAGAUAACAGGACUUACCAGGGUGUUUUGUGGACCAUGGAGUCUGAGGUCCUGGGAAGGGAAGGUAGAAUCAGGAUGCAGCAGCCCUCGGGUGCCUGUCCCAAGCUCCCACCUUCUUGAUGUAGAAGGUGAGAAAGAGAAAGACACUGUUGAGGAGCGGCAGCAGGGGGCAGUAGAAGAGGCCCAUCCAGGUGACAGUCUGCGCAGCCACGAUGUCCAGCACAUUCUUGGGCACCAGGAACUCCUCCCGGUCCAGCCAAGUCCAGAACCAGCCUGAGAAGCGCUCCACUAACAGCCUGGGGUGGGAAGUGCAGGAUGGGGUAGGAUCUGGGUCCACUCCCGGGGCGGGCAGGGUAUGAGAGCCACGCGGGUCUUCCCUAUGGGCCAUUGCACCCUUACUCAUGGGGACAGACCUGGCUCACGCUUGGCAGUGGCCUCCAGCUAUCCCCUGCGGUGCCCCACCCCCAUGUAGCUCACCUCCGAGGCAGGGUGACCAGAAAGGCGAAGGCCACGGUAAGCAGGAAGUUGAAGAUGAUUAAUUUAUAUAACUCUUCACCCACUGAAUUCUCCCAGCACUGGGGUGCAGAGGAAAGAGACCCAUCACUAUUCCCACAUUCCUCCCAACUCUCUUCCCUCAACCACCGCUUGUCAGGGUUGGGGGUGGGUUGGUGGCGGGGGGUGACUCCCAAAGCCAGGAGAGCUAUGCACCUCUGGGGUGUGGUGCAGGGCGCCCCCUGGGCGCAAGCCAUGGUAUGGCAGCUCCGCCUCCAGCUACUCACAAAAGCAAGGAUAAGGACUGAAAGGGACCGGAUUCCUGAGUUUGAGGUGGGCUUUGUGGGGAAGGAUGGGUGGGCACCUGGUAUUCGCAGGCAUUGUAGCCGUAGGUCUCGCAGCUGGUCUUGUUUCUGCCUAUGCACAGCACAGUCUGACCCAGAGAGAAGGAGAACAUCCCCAGGCUGGCCAGCUUCAGCACCACGCACCUGAGGGCAGCCGGGAAUGCAUCAGAGGUGGGUCGGAGCUCUAACCAGGUCAUAGAGUGCCUGGUGUCUGAGACCUGGCGGCCUCAACCUGGCCUCCUUCCAGCCUGCUUCAUCUCCCGCCGGCGUUUUUCAAAAUGAGUUCUUCAAGCCUGACUCUACGUGGUUCACGGGGAAUGGAUCCUGCCUCUAAGUCAGUGUGGGAAAUACUGUCCCAGUCAGUUCUUCCUGCUGCCAGAUGUAUGGUUUAUUUGGACGAGUCCUGCAAGAGAAAGUCUACGCCCUCCUGGGUCCUCAGAGCCUCGGUUCGGAAGACACCUUCCUCUUCUUUUUUAUUUAGUAUGUAGCCCUGGCUGACCCGGGGAACUCACUAUGUAGUCCAGGGUAGCCUCAAAGUUGCAGAGGGCUAGUAUUAAAGGCAUGCACCACCAUACCUGCCCUCCACCCUCUGUGUUGAGUACACUCACCCACAUGUAUGUGGAGCCCAGAGCUUGACUUUAGAUGUCUCCCUCUCUCUUACUCUCUUACAUUUUAAACAUUUUAUUUUUGUCUGUUUAUUUAUUUGAGACAGGGCCUCCCUACGUAGCCUGGGUUGGCCUGGGACUUGUUCUGUGAAUUCAGUUGGCUUCAAACUCAUAGAGACCUGCCUGUCUCUGA